GGCGAUCAGAUACCGCCCUAGUUCUGACCGUAAACGAUGCCAACUAGCGAUCCGCCAGCGGAUUCAUUCGCCCUGGUGGGGAGCUUCCCGGAAACGAAAGUCUUCCGGUUCCGGGGGAAGUAUGGUUGCAAAGCUGAAACUUAAAGGAAUUGACGGAAGGGCACCACCAGGAGUGGAGCCUGCGGCUUAAUUUGACUCAACACGGGGAAACUCACCCGGCCCGGACACCGUAAGGAUUGACAAAUUGAUAGCUUUUUCAUGAUUCGGUGGAUGGUGGUGCAUGGCCGUUCUUAGUUCGUGGAGCGAUUUGUCUGGUUUAUUCCGAUAACGAGCGAGACUCUGGCCUACUAAAUAGUUGACGCAUUGCCACUGUGCGCACAACUUCUUAGAGGGAUUUUCGGUGUUUUCAACCGCACGAAAUUGAGCAAUAACAGGUCUGUGAUGCCCUUAGAUGUCCGGGGCUGCACGCGCGCUACACUGGCAAACGCAACGUGCCUGUCCUGCCCCGAAAGGAGCGGGUAAACCCCUGAAAUUUUGCCGUGAUUGGGAUCGGACAUUGCAACUAUUGUCCGUGAACGAGGAAUUCCUUGUAGGGGCGAGUCAUCAACUCGUCCCGAAUACGUCCCUGCCCUUGUA
RNAcentral lists this ribosomal RNA (636 nucleotides) under Rotylenchulus reniformis. RNAcentral describes it as "SSU rRNA". It matches the Rfam family "Eukaryotic small subunit ribosomal RNA", at positions 1003 to 1664 of the family's 1831-position model. The record is from RNAcentral. Lineage: Eukaryota; Metazoa; Nematoda; Chromadorea; Rhabditida; Hoplolaimidae.